Long non-coding RNA from Heterocephalus glaber (naked mole-rat), 410 nucleotides. The record is from Ensembl. NCBI's taxonomy places the organism in Eukaryota, Metazoa, Chordata, Mammalia, Rodentia, Bathyergidae.
UGCUACCCUGCCUUGGAGCCAGCUAACUGUGGACUGAAGUCUCUACGAACUAAUUCAUUCUUCAAAUUUAGAGAGAUGCCCUACCUAGGUCCUGAGUCGCACAGAACACGCCGAAUCAGCACGCUGCAGACAGGCAGGUCUGUGCACGCCCUACGGAGGUCCUGAGUUGAGCGGAAGACACCGAAUCACACCGCUGCAGACAGGCAGCCAUCUGAUUCCACACUACAAAGACACAGAGGACACCAGACCACCAGACCAAGGUCUCAGGUGGAGCUUGAAAAUUGAAGUUCUACCAAGUUCCCAGAUACUGGUUGGUUUUGCUGGAUGCAGAGACCACAACUGGAGAACCUUUGGUCUUCGAGGAUGCACUGAAGAAUCACUCACCUGAGAAGAGCUGUGAUAAGCCAAAG